UACGGAGGAUCCAAGCGUUAUCCGGAUUUAUUGGGUUUAAAGGGUGCGUAGGCGGCCUAUUAAGUCAGGGGUGAAAGACGGUAGCUUAACUAUCGCAGUGCCUUUGAUACUGAUGGGCUUGAAUACACUAGAGGUAGGCGGAAUGUGACAAGUAGCGGUGAAAUGCAUAGAUAUGUCACAGAACACCAAUUGCGAAGGCAGCUUACUAUGGUGCAAUUGACGCUGAGACACGAAAGCGUGGGGAUCAAACAGG
Molecule: ribosomal RNA, 253 nt
Filed under: uncultured bacterium
Lineage: Bacteria
Description: partial 16S ribosomal RNA
Rfam family: Bacterial small subunit ribosomal RNA
Source: RNAcentral